Molecule: ribosomal RNA, 253 nt
Filed under: uncultured bacterium
Lineage: Bacteria
Description: partial 16S ribosomal RNA
Rfam family: Bacterial small subunit ribosomal RNA
Source: RNAcentral
GACGAAGGAUGCAAGCGUUAUCCGGAUUCAUUGGGUUUAAAGGGUGCGUAGGAGGGCAGGUAAGUCAGUGGUGAAAUCUCCAAGCUUAACUUGGAAACUGCCGUUGAUACUAUCUGUCUUGAAUAUUGUGGAGGUGAGCGGAAUAUGUCAUGUAGCGGUGAAAUGCUUAGAUAUGACAUAGAACACCAAUUGCGAAGGCAGCUCACUACACAAUCAUUGACUCUGAGGCACGAAAGCGUGGGGAUCAAACAGG